CUUACACAUGCAAGUCGAGCGGUAACAUUUCUAGCUUGCUAGAAGAUGACGAGCGGCGGACGGGUGAGUAACGCGUAGGAAUCUGCCUAGUAGUGGGGGACAACAUGUGGAAACGCAUGCUAAUACCGCAUACGCCCUACGGGGGAAAGGAGGGGAUCUUCGGACCUUUCGCUAUUAGAUGAGCCUGCGUGAGAUUAGCUAGUUGGUGGGGUAAAGGCCUACCAGGGCGACGAUCUCUAGCUGGUCUGAGAGGAUGAUCAGCCACACUGGGACUGAGACACGGCCCAGACUCCUACGGGAGGCAGCAGUGGGGAAUAUUGGACAAUGGGCGCAAGCCUGAUCCAGCCAUGCCGCGUGUGUGAAGAAGGCCUUAGGGUUGUAAAGCACUUUCAGGAGUGAGGAAGGGUGUACGGUUAAUACCCGUAUAUUUUGACGUUAACUCCAGAAGAAGCACCGGCUAACUCUGUGCCAGCAGCCGCGGUAAUACAGAGGGUGCGAGCGUUAAUCGGAAUUACUGGGCGUAAAGCGCGCGUANGCGGUUUGUUAAGUCGGAUGUGAAAUCCCA
This 565-nucleotide ribosomal RNA is filed under the name uncultured bacterium. RNAcentral describes it as "bacterial SSU rRNA". It matches the Rfam family "Bacterial small subunit ribosomal RNA", at positions 48 to 604 of the family's 1533-position model. The record is from RNAcentral.